RNAcentral lists this long non-coding RNA (1927 nucleotides) under Homo sapiens (human). RNAcentral describes it as "HSALNT0023138". The record is from RNAcentral. Lineage: Eukaryota; Metazoa; Chordata; Mammalia; Primates; Hominidae.
UAAAUAAAGCAGCAGAAAUACCUGUUGGGGAGAAAUAGGUAAACUGGAGGAAGUGAACAACUGGGCUGAUUCUGACCAUAGUGAAGACUCCAGGGCUACAAACUGAAUUUCAGCACUGAUGCAAAGCCUAAGGUUCUACCCUCCAUGGGACUGGUGUGUACUACCUGGCCUGGAGGAGUAGAUCCCGACACAUCUCCUAAAUCUCGCAGUGGGCAGAGCGGAGCCCAGACAUGCUAGCUCCUGACACUCUGCCCUCUGAGCCUUCCCUGCCCUCCCCACCUGGUUCCCUCAACUCUCCCAAUGAAAUCAAGAGAAGAAAACAAAUAGAAGAGGAAGAUCGUCAAGAAGUCACCCACACGCUAUCAGAACAAAUAAAAUGAAUGGCUGAAAUUCCCCAAACACGAGCAAAUGAAAAGAAAAAGCAUAGCAACUGUAAAACUAUCCUGCAGGGUGGAAAAGGCAACGGAUGAAGAAAAUGACCAGAAACCCAAAUGAGAGGAAACCUGACUCAAGCAAUGAAGGCAAUUCCUCCCAAUUCUGCACGCUCUACUGCUUAAUUAGAAAGUGAAUUAGGUGAAACAGGAACUCAAAGAAGAGAUAGUAAAAUUGAAAUGAGAUGAAAAGAGAGAUUUCAGAUAUAGGGAAACAAAUAGAGGGCAGAAUUAUUAUAGAGUUAAAAUAUAAACUAGAAAUAAGAAACAAAAUACUGUUAAAAAUUGAAUUAUGAUGUAGAGGAAAGGCUUAAGACAAUCACAGUGAAUAUAAAUGAUAAAGAAAUGGGUAUGAAAGAGAGGAAAAUGUGACUGAAUAUAAGGAUAAUUGGUGUCCCUUAAGUAGAGAGUCCAACACAUGGAACAAAAGAUGUAUUCAAAUGUAUAAUCAAGGGAAUUUCCAUGAAAUGAAGGACUGAAUAUACAAAUAAACGGAAUAGACUGUAUUCCAAGAAAAAUGUAAUACAGAAUGUUAAAUACUAAAGUGUACUCUAGGCUGGGCACGAUGGCUCAAGCCUGUAAUUCUGGUGCUUUGGAAGGCCAAGGUGGGCAGAUUGCUUGAGCCCAGGAAUUUGAGACCAGCCUGGGCAAUGUGGUGAAAUCCCAUCUCUACAAAAAAUACAAAAACUAGCCAGGCGUGGUGGUGCAAACUUGUGGACCCAGCUACUCCGGAGGCUGAUGUGGGAGGAUUGCUUGAGCCCAGAAAAUUGAGGUUGAGGUGAGCAAUGAUCAUGCCACUGCACUCCAGCCUGGGCAACAGAGUGAGACCCUGUCCCAAACAAGAAACAAAAAACAAAACAAGAAAAAAUGUACUCUAAUUAAAUUAGCGAACUUUAGUGAUAAAAAAUUUUUCAAGUAUCUUAAUAGAAAAAGUGAAUCUUGCCAGGGGUGCAAAACCCAGGGAGGAUUCAGCCUUCUUCACAGCAACAUUCAAGACCAGGAUACAGUGAAGACAAAGCGCAGCCAGGGGUUAGUGUCCAAGACUGCCAUUGCCAGCUACGUGACCUUGGGAAAGUCCCUCAGUGCCUCCAUUUCCCUGUUGACAGACAGGGCAUGACUGUGCCGAGCACAUGGAAUUGUUGUGACAGCAAAUGAAAUCAUCUCUGCGAUGUGUGGGAGGCUGAGCUGAGUGCUGGGCAAGUGCUCACCGCACAUUCCUGGUCAUUGUUGUUGUUAUCGUGGCAGGAGGAUUUCAUUGAGUUUGGAGCCCUUCCCAGGGUAACAAAGCAAGGAGUCAUUUAAGAUUAAUGUUGCUCUUUUAUGAUCUAGAUAGGCCCUUGGGCAGAGCAAGAAGAAACCAAAGCUGCUUCUCACCAGCCAUGUGGGCUCACUGGCUAGGAGAGCUGAUUGGGCUCCUUUUUAAACUUGGAAAAUAAUUCCUCUUUAAAUAUGGUUUUGGACAAUAAAAAUGAAACAUAUGUACCUGUAAAAAAUGA